UUAGUUCCUGUACAAAAUCAAAGUCUACUUAUUAAGAUUGUUCAUUAAAAUAAAAUUAAUAGUUAUUAAUUAUUACGAUUCAUCCUAGACUAUUUCCUAAGUGUUGAUCAUUAAGUACCACCUACAUCUGUUAUUUAUAUUUGUAAACAAUUACCUGGAUUUUCUACAUUAUGAAAAUAAUAAUUAUAUAAUUAGUGCGUCGUCGAAAUUUUAAAAAUUAUAUUUUAUGGUUCACCAUGCAAACGUUUUUAGAUUAUGAAGAAAAUAUUGUUGAAGAAAAACUCUGUCCCCUUUUAUUUUCAAUUAAACGGUAUCAAAUUCAAUAUGAUUUUAUGACCAAUCUUUAUACGGCGAUUAAAAAUAAAAAACAUGAAAUUUUCGAUAGUCCUACUGACAAUGUUAAGAAAUUAAGUUUCAUAAUAUUUUGUGCAGUGCGUCGGCUAUAUGGCGUUGAAGAAAGAGAAUUGGGGUAGCUAAAGAUAUUUUCUCAUGUUGGAAAAAUAAUAUAUUCUUUGGUUAUGAUUGAUACUUCUAAUAGAACAAUAUUUCAAUUGCAAAAUUCCUAGUAGAUUACAUUUUAAUAGAUUUUAAAAGAUUUAAAAUCUUUAUGGCUAUCGUAAAGCCUAACAAAACCAUUAUUAAUUUAUUUAAUGUGCAUAAAUCUCAAUUGCAAAGAGUAACACAACAUACGUAUUUUAAUUAAUUCAUAGACAAUAACAUUUAAUACUAAUUUAUCUAUUUAUAAUUU
Molecule: long non-coding RNA, 748 nt
Organism: Adelges cooleyi (spruce gall adelgid)
Lineage: Eukaryota; Metazoa; Arthropoda; Insecta; Hemiptera; Adelgidae
Exons: 3
Source: RefSeq, a predicted model, not a curated record